RNAcentral lists this ribosomal RNA (253 nucleotides) under uncultured bacterium. RNAcentral's name for it is "partial 16S ribosomal RNA". It matches the Rfam family "Bacterial small subunit ribosomal RNA", at positions 524 to 776 of the family's 1533-position model. The record is from RNAcentral.
UACGUGAGGGGCAAGCGUUGUCCGGAUUUAUUGGGCGUAAAGAGCGUGUAGGCGGCCAGGUAGGUCCGUUGUGAAAACUAGAGGCUUAACCUCUAGACGUCGAUGGAAACCAUCUGGCUAGAGUCCGGAAGAGGAGAGUGGAAUUCCUGGUGUAGCGGUGAAAUGCGCAGAUAUCAGGAAGAACACCCGUGGCGAAGGCGGCUCUCUGGGACGGUACUGACGCUGAGACGCGAAAGCGUGGGGAGCAAACAGG